UCUAAUGGUUCAGGCCAAAAUGGUCAUAUUUAGGAGAUACCUCAAAUUAUAACCAUUGUUACCUGUGUGCAAUUUUACUUAACAGUACUGUGUAUAUAGUGGACAAGUAAGUUCUUACAUGAAAUAUCUAGUCUUUCUAGAUAUUUAGAAGUGCUUGAUGCAUUUUACAGUAGACAUAGUGUUAUAAUGCUUCUUGUAAAUAGCUUUUUAAAACUGAUGGGAAAUACUGUAAUUGGAAAUGGAAUUGUUAAACCUCCUCUCUGAACAGUAUACUCUGCUUUUUCAUUGGGUUGAGGGAGGC
This 301-nucleotide long non-coding RNA is filed under the name Androctonus crassicauda. The record is from RNAcentral. Lineage: Eukaryota; Metazoa; Arthropoda; Arachnida; Scorpiones; Buthidae.